UGGCUCAGAUUGAACGCUGGCGGCAGGCUUACCACAUGCAAGUCGAGCGGUAACAGAGAGUAGCUUGCUACUUUGCUGACGAGCGGCGGACGGGUGAGUAACGCGUAGAAAUCUGCCUGGUAGUGGGGGAUAGCCCAGAGAAAUUUGGAUUAAUACCGCAUACGCCCUACGGGGGAAAGCAGGGGACCUUCGGGCCUUGCGCUAUCAGAUGAGUCUGCGUCGGAUUAGCUUGUUGGUGAGGUAAUGGCUCACCAAGGCGACGAUCCGUAGCUGGUCUGAGAGGAUGAUCAGCCACACUGGGACUGAGACACGGCCCAGACUCCUACGGGAGGCAGCAGUGGGGAAUAUUGCACAAUGGGCGAAAGCCUGAUGCAGCCAUGCCGCGUGUGUGAAGAAGGCCUUAGGGUUGUAAAGCACUUUCAGCAGUGAGGAAAGGUUGUAGCUUAAUACGCUAUAGCUGUGACGUUAACUGCAGAAGAAGGACCGGCUAACUCCGUGCCAGCAGCC
RNAcentral lists this ribosomal RNA (507 nucleotides) under marine sediment bacterium ISA-3144. Its description in RNAcentral is "bacterial SSU rRNA". It matches the Rfam family "Bacterial small subunit ribosomal RNA", at positions 20 to 516 of the family's 1533-position model. The record is from RNAcentral.